RNAcentral lists this ribosomal RNA (896 nucleotides) under uncultured marine archaeon. RNAcentral's name for it is "SSU rRNA". It matches the Rfam family "Archaeal small subunit ribosomal RNA", at positions 455 to 1354 of the family's 1478-position model. The record is from RNAcentral.
GUGCCAGCCGCCGCGGUAAUACCGGCAGCUCGAGUGGUCGUCGCUUUUAUUGGGCCUAAAACGUCCGUAGCCUGUUUGGUAAAUCUAUGGGUAAAUCAAUCCGCUUAACGGAUUGAAUUCUGCAGAGACUGCCAGACUAGGGACCGGGAGAGGUAUGAGGUACUCUGGGGGUAGGGGUAAAAUCCUGUCAUCCUCAGAGGACCACCUGUUGCGAAGGCGUCAUACUGGAACGGAUCCGACGGUCAGGGACGAAGCCUGGGGGCACGAACCGGAUUAGAUACCCGGGUAGUCCCAGGUGUAAACGCUGUGGAUUUGGUGUGUGGGGUCCGCAAUGGGCCCCAUGUGCCGGAGUGAAGAUGUUAAAUCCACUGCCUGGGGAGUACGGUCGCAAGGCUGAAACUUAAAGGAAUUGGCGGGGGAGCACUGCAACGGGAGGAGCGUGCGGUUUAAUUGGAUUCAACGCCGGAAAACUCACCAAGGCCGACUGCUAAAUGAAGAUCAGCGUAAUGAGCUUAUCGGAUUAUCAGAGAGGUGGUGCAUGGCCGUCGUCAGUUCGUACUGUAAAGCGUUCUGUUAAGUCAGAUAGCGAACGAGACCCGCAUCCCUAUUUGCCACCCUUUUCUCCGGAAAAGGCGCACCAUAGGGAGAUCGCUGGUGUGAAACCAGAUGAGAGCGCGGGCAACGACAGGUCAGUAUGCCCCGAAUGUCUUGGGCUACACGCGCGCUACAAAGGACGGGACAAUGGGAAGCCACGCCGAGAGGCGGCGCUACCCCGAAACCCGUUCGUAGUUCGAAUCGAGGGCUGUAACUCGCCCUCGUGAAGCUGGAUUCCGUAGUAAUCGUGUUUCAACAUAGCACGGUGAAUAUGCCCCUGCUCCUUGCACACACCGCCCGUC